RNAcentral lists this unclassified non-coding RNA (5542 nucleotides) under Leishmania donovani. RNAcentral's name for it is "gene:LdHU3.24.1170(CDS-product:hypothetical_prote in_conserved)". Lineage: Eukaryota; Euglenozoa; Kinetoplastea; Trypanosomatida; Trypanosomatidae. The record is from RNAcentral.
ACAAGCGUCGGCAGCGCAUACUAGUGUGUACUUGUACGUAGGCGCCACAUCCUGUAUCCACGCACGCGCGCGUGCGCACAGCCUUCACUGAAGAUCACACGCAGUUGACGAAACGAGCGUGGCACGUACUUUGCUUGCUUGCUUGCUUACUUGCCUCGUGUGCUUGUCGAAGCCUUCGGGCAUUCCGUGGAGGGCAGCGGUCAUCGCCGGCGCGACUCAGCACCGUUCCACAUCACUUGUUGCGCACACCUGUAGAUACCCGACACAACCGCGUCAGCAAGGCGUGUGUGUGUGUGUCGGGAGCGGGCGUCUGUGCCCAACGUCACACGAAAAGCGAACGAAGUCGCUCUCCCUUGUACACUUCGAUUUUCCGCGCCUGUGCGCACGCGUGUCGGUGUGCACCUCGACGACCGCGAACUCCCCACGUGCCACCCCUUAGCUCUAGUCAGCCCCCCUCCCCCUUUCCUCCUGUUUUGUGUGUUUCCUUGUGCUUUAUCUGUACUCUUUAGAUCUACAGUGUGCGCUUGCUUCCGUGACGCCGUCUGCUGAGACACGCGCGCUGGCAAGGCAACGUGCAUGCAUACGCCCACAAGCUCCUCUCCUCCUCUUCUCUUGCCCCCCCCUCUGCUUCUCGUCCUCCAAGUAUGUUCGCCGCCACUAGUCCACCCCCCUCCACCUCCUCAUGGCGCCAUCAUAUGCAGGAUCAGGAGGAAGACCUUGUGCGCGAGCUCAUGCAGGCCAGCGACGUGGAUGCCGUACUGGCGCGCAUGGAGGGAGACCAUUUCCGCCACCUGUCUCCCAUCAUGCGCAAGCUGACCUCCUACGACGCCGACGCGUCCGCAGCACCUGCCUUGCCGCGCGCCGGUGCACCGCCGCCACCGCCACCGCCACCAGCACCGGAGCCAUCCGCGCCGCGCACCUACGGCGGCGGUUUCGGCGGCAGCGUGGACUGGGAUGCGCAGUCAUCCUCGUCAAUACUGCAGCCCGCCGACCCCUAUGUGCCGCAGUUGUAUCAGACGGCCUCGCCAGCAUCUACCUCGUUCCACCUCGGUAUGCGCGAUGGUGACGCUGCCGCGUGGGCAUCGCCCACAGCGCGUCAGCCGCCGCCACCACCGCCGAUGCAGACACCGUCAUCGUCUGUGGAUGGUGGUGUCGUGCGUGAUCUACUCGGCGCGUACCGGCGCCCGGCUGGCGGGGCUGCCGCUGCCGCAUCUUACCUUGGUCACGAGACGGAGUCCCGCUAUCAAACGACGAUCGACUCAUGGCUAUGGCCCGACGCUGAGAUGCGGGCUAGGCGCGCCGCGCGCGACGAGGAGCAGCCUGGCGCUGGCCGCCAUGCAAGCCCGUCCGCCGCCUCGCAGCAGCUGCACGUGGACCCUGCUCUCGACCACACCGCUGCUGUGAGCGGCAUGUUGCCGCCUCCAACAGUGAGCAGCUCGUUGCCCGCAAGCGCGGGCCGCUACCACGGUAGUGCUGACGGGCGGUUGCCGCACGUGACGACGCGGGUGACAUCCGCAUCACCGCACCGCCCCUCCGCAUCUCUCGUUGGCGAGGCCACGGGUGACGUUGGUGGGCUCGAGAACGCUGCGCAGUCACGUAUAGCUCGCCAACUGCAGCUGCUGCGCAACUACCGCCAACUGGCCGAGUUGUGCUCGCGCACUGACAACCCGAGCACUGACCUCUUCCGCGCCUUGCCGUCAGAGGAGCUCGCGCGCAUGCAGGUAGAGCAACUCAAGGGGCUGGCGCAGCGAGAGCAAAGUCCCAUCACCGUGAACAACAACUACUACUUCAACGGCAACGGUGAUAGGCAUGGCAGCAGCCGGCACGGCAGCGGCGUCGAUGGCGGACGGUCGCGCGGCAGCAGCGACGAUCAUUUGGGGGUGAUUCACGGCAAGCCAAACACCGGCAUGACGCCGGGCAACGUUCGCUCCAUGUCGGAAGUGCUCACGGGAGACAGCCACCUCCAAGGCGUGACGGGCUACCGCCCAUCCGGGGCCUUCUCGCCGCAGUCACAGAGACCGCCGCCGCUGCAUUCGCCACGCGCCGUGCCCCUUCAAUCGCCGCAGCCGUCUUCCGGGCCGGACUCCCCCGUGGCGACGCCGCCGCUCUCGCAGCGCGGCGGCAACCUCGCCCCGCCCUCGCCGAGCCGCUCCCAGCGCGGCCGCAGCCAUUGUAGUCGAUUGCUCGAUGCUCACUACACCCCGACGGCCACCACCGAAGAAGCCGGAUCGAGCUACGACGAGGGGAACGCUGAGGAUGACGAUGAGGGCGACUACGCCGGCGACUGCAUGGACAACGGCGGCAGCGAGGAAGAGGAGUACGACGACAACGGCACCGGGUACAGACGCCCGCCGCCGCGCAUUAUCGAGCGCGAGCAGCACCGACGCUUUCCCAACCUGAGUAACGGCGACGACGCGUCCCCGUCGAGCGCUGCGGGCGGCACGACACAGCCCCCGCUAGCCCCAACCACCUCCCAGCUGGGGCAUCAGCGUCACAGCAGCUACUCAGGCGACUACGUCAACAGCCAGCCUUUGACGACCAUCAACGAGCACGUCCAGGACGGAAGCAAUAGCGCCCCGCCUCGCAUGCGCAGCGGCUCCGCCAUGUUUGCGGGUGGUGGCGGGCGGAGCAGUAUGGGUGGUGCUCCGGGCAGCGACGGAGGACGAUACAGCGUGUCCAGCGCCAUCAACGUUCUUUCGGGAGAUCAGGAGCUGCGCGCCAACGCACAUCGGCAGAGCGGCGGCGGCGGCAGAAGCAGUCACGAAGACCGCCGCGCCUCUCAGCACCUCGCCGCACCGUCGCCGCGCUCGCUCCAACAGCAGCGGCGCAGCUUAUCGGCUGGUUCCGGUCCGGCGGCGCCACGUGGCGGCAGUGCCUUGACAGAUUCGGAAGUGUCGCCGAGCUAUCUCCCACUGCACGGCCCCCGUCGAGCAAACCGAGAGCUCGAGGGCAGCACGCAAGGCUCGCCUACGUCUGUGAGUCGUCGCGGUGGCAAUACGGAGCGCCGCACGCGUACGACGCCUGCGCCGGAGAAGAGUCCCACCGGGGGAAGCGGUACCAGCGGGGCGACGGCACCCUGCCCUCAAGGCAAUCGCCAGCCCAGGGAGCGUGGUGGCCCAGACGGCAAGUCGUGCUUUCUUUGGAAGGGCGGGACCUGGCGUAGAGGGAGGCGGCGCGGCGCUGACUCGGACGACGACAGCAACAGCGACGACCACGACGUGGACAGCGUGCGCAGUGGAACCUACGGCAGCGGCAGCGAAGAUAGCGCGUGCGAUGCCCCGGGUAAUCCGCAGCUGCAGACACACAGGCCCCCCUCCUCGGCGCAGCGCAAGCGACACACAAGUCGGCGCCACGGCGAGCCGCGUUCUGCCUUGGCUCGUGGAGAGCGCGGCAGCAGCCGCCGUGGUUAUGACGACCACGGCGGUGAUGAUGCACCGACGUCGCGCGGUAAAGUCCGCUUUGGCCGCAAGCACUCCUCUGCCACGACGCGCGCGUACCCGACACAGCGUGGUCGCCGUGCCGGGGGCGACGGCGGCGGUGGUAGUGGUGUUCGGCACCAUGGCACAGACGGCGGUGGCGUGGAUAACGUGUGGUCUGCUGCGUCCUACUCGUGCAGCUACACCACCAGCUCCGACAUUAGCGACUACGUGCCGGGAAGCUACUACAGCCCCAUCCGGUCAGACCGAGGUGGCGGCCGCAGAGGUGCACGUGAUGGCAUGAUUAGCCCGGGCAGGCCUCUUCGUGCAUCUACGCAGCUGCUGCAGACGCACCCGAGCUCGAUUCGCAGUCCUGUUGGUGUGCAAGGUCGUUAUGACCGUGGGGAGCGCGGGGGCGCCACUCAAGCGCUGUACGGCGGGCGCGGCCGUGGCGGGGCCACGCUGGGGCCGCGCCACGUUGGUGUGCCUGGCGCGUCUGCACCCGGGGUAGGCGACGGAAACCGUCAGAGUCUCGGCUCCUCCGGUCGAUAUUCUGCACUAGCAGGAAGCGGCUUGCCUGGAGGUGACCACAGUUCAUACCGCGGCGGCGGUGUUCUCUCUCCCCAACGCGUGGCGUACCAGCAGCAGCAGCGACUGCGCGGCGGUUUGCACCCUGCCGUGGGCGCCGGCGCACGAGGCCCGAACAUGGCCAUGGCCGGUGGCUCUGCCGGGCUGGCGGGUGCCAUGACACGCCUGCCAGAUGGUCGUGUCGUCCCCGUGGCAUCGCCCGAGGCACGCCGGUAUCAGCAGGCAAUGAGCAUGAUGGCGACUGGAGCUCCUGGUGCGCACACAAUAACGCCAAUGAAGAUAGAGCAGCCGAUUCGGUACAACCGCAGCCCCGACGUGUAUCCGACUGGUCUGCCUUAUGCUGCGCGUCUCGGCGGCAGGCCCUCCUCCGUGACUCCCUCGCCCGUUAAAGGCGGUCGUGCAGCGUCGCCGUCUGUGGCUGCGAGCGUUUCCAUGACAGCCCACAGCAACUACGGUGCUGGCGGCAGUAGUCCGCACAUUCAGCCCGGCCUGCUCUACGGCUCCCUCCUUCCCAAGGCCCGUCCUAAGACAGCGAUGGUGGUGAAGGAAGAGCAAGGUCGCUCGCACAGCGUUGACCCGUACGGCGACGCGAGCCACGCGCCGCUGCUCGAUCGUGGCAGCGUAUGCCCCGUGCAGCCGGUCCCCAGCAACGGCAUCCAGCCAUGGCGCCUCGGCAGCGACGACAACUCGGAGGUGGACGCGUUUCCGAUCGCAGGCGUCGCGGUGAAUGGCAGCGCGAGCACCGGUGUGCUGCCACUAGCAUGGAAGUCUAGCGGCUCCGGCCGCGUGGUCAGCCGCACCGGGCACGUCCCCGUCGCACCGCGCGGCAAGCUGUCCUCCCACUACGUCCCACCCGGCUCGCUCAAUCAGCGGAACCAACCGCAGCAGCCGCCGUCGGCGCACCCUCAACAGCAGCAGCCGCGAAGGGCGACAGUGACGAGUGCGAGCUCGCCUGCCGCCACACUGUCGUGCCUGCCCAGUGACGCCACAAGGCCGACCGCCACGGCGGCGAGUGUCAUCAGAAAGUCGUCGCCGCAGAAGCAGCAGCAGCAGCGGUAUCAACCACUGAACCCCACCGACGCUGGGCGGAACGACUCCGUGUUUUCUCUCCAAAGUAGCCGCCCGCGCUACAACGAGGCCCCCACGCCGGCGGAGAUGUACAGCAAAGCCAUUCAGUCGCGCCGCGGCAGUCUCGGCGGCGCCAACGCGCAGCAGCGGUACGUCCCUUUUCCAGAGCCUCUAGAGCCAGCGAAGCGCAGUCGCCGUGAGUCCGUUCUGCCGCAGCAGCAGAGCCCAUCCAACUCGAGCAAGAGAACCGCAGCAGCUCGCAACGCCACCUUGCAGCGCUUUGGUAUCAGGUCACUGCACGGGUAGCAAGCGCAGUGAUUAUCAUACGCAUAGAUCUGUGUCUGCAGGUGUUUAGCUCUCCUCCUGCGCGUAUGUGCUUCGCCUGCUGCUCGUAUUGCGACAAAGGCGUGGUGCUCCUGUGCGAGCCUCGUCUGUCCUCCCCCACCCUCUUUUUCGUUGUUAGACACACA